RNAcentral lists this ribosomal RNA (263 nucleotides) under uncultured bacterium. Its description in RNAcentral is "partial 16S ribosomal RNA". It matches the Rfam family "Bacterial small subunit ribosomal RNA", at positions 57 to 305 of the family's 1533-position model. The record is from RNAcentral.
GCAAGUCGAACGAGAAAGGAUUCUUCGGAAUCCGAGUAAAGUGGCGCACGGGUGAGUAAAGCGUAGAUAAUCUAUCCUCGUGUCUGGGAUAACACUUCGAACGGGGGACUAAUACCGGAUAUAUUCGUACCUGUUGGGGUAUGAAGUAAAGGUGGCCUCUAUUUAUAAGCUAUCGCAUAGGGAGGAGUCUGCGUACCAUUAGCUAGUUGGUGGGGUAAUGGCCUACCAAGGCAUCGAUGGUUAGCGGGUCUGAGAGGAUGAUC